UACGUAGGGGGCAAGCGUUGUCCGGAUUUAUUGGGCGUAAAGAGCGUGUAGGCGGCCCGAUAAGUCCGCUGUGAAAGUCAAGGGCUCAACCCUUGAAUGCCGGUGGAUACUGUCGGGCUAGAGUCCGGAAGAGGCGAGUGGAAUUCCUGGUGUAGCGGUGAAAUGCGCAGAUAUCAGGAGGAACACCGGUGGCGAAGGCGGGACUCUGGGCCGAUACUGACGCUGAGGAGCGAAAGCGUGGGGAGCGAACAGG
RNAcentral lists this ribosomal RNA (253 nucleotides) under uncultured bacterium. RNAcentral's name for it is "partial 16S ribosomal RNA". It matches the Rfam family "Bacterial small subunit ribosomal RNA", at positions 524 to 776 of the family's 1533-position model. The record is from RNAcentral.